This 78-nucleotide transfer RNA is filed under the name Chloroflexota bacterium. RNAcentral describes it as "Chloroflexi bacterium tRNA-Trp". It matches the Rfam family "tRNA". From Rfam's summary of the family: Transfer RNA (tRNA) molecules are approximately 80 nucleotides in length. Their secondary structure includes four short double-helical elements and three loops (D, anti-codon, and T loops). Further hydrogen bonds mediate the characteristic L-shaped molecular structure. tRNAs have two regions of fundamental functional importance: the anti-codon, which is responsible for specific mRNA codon recognition, and the 3' end, to which the tRNAs corresponding amino acid is attached (by aminoacyl-tRNA synthetases). tRNAs cope with the degeneracy of the genetic code in two manners: having more than one tRNA (with a specific anti-codon) for a particular amino acid; and 'wobble' base-pairing, i.e. permitting non-standard base-pairing at the 3rd anti-codon position. Lineage: Bacteria; Bacillati; Chloroflexota. The record is from RNAcentral. RNAcentral also lists the same sequence under 2 other names.
AGGAGCGUAGCUCAGUCUGGCUAGAGCAUCGGUCUCCAAAACCGAGGGUCGCGGGUUCGAAUCCUGCCGCUCCUGCCA